AAGUCGUAACAAGGUUUCCGUAGGUGAACCUGCGGAAGGAUCAUUAACACGUAUCCAACGUUAAACCCCCCGUGAACCAUUGUGGCACGCCUAUCCGUUAGAAAGUGGCAAUCCCUGGUAAAUCAUCGCCGAACAGUUUUGAUUCAGGCGAGCAAGUGACCUGGCACCCUCUGCUUGUUAGUGUCUGAAAGUGUCACUAGCUCUGUACGGGUGGCGCAAUCACGAUCGCUAGAGGCCAACACGGCCGGCGACCGGGUCAAUGGGCCCUCGCCUUUGCAUGAAAACGGGCCUGCGCUUAAUUGUGCGGCCACCAAACUCGAACAACUGUUAACAAUGGAUAUCUUGGUUCUC
This 351-nucleotide unclassified non-coding RNA is filed under the name fungal sp. RNAcentral describes it as "partial internal transcribed spacer region". The stretch from base 1 to 46 matches the Rfam family "Eukaryotic small subunit ribosomal RNA", at positions 1786 to 1831 of the family's 1831-position model. Lineage: Eukaryota; Fungi. The record is from RNAcentral.